UACGUAGGGACCGAGCGUUGUCCGGAAUCAUUGGGCGUAAAGAGCGUGUAGGCGGCCAGACAAGUCUGCUGUGAAAACUCGAGGCUCAACCUCGAGCUGUCGGUGGAAACUGUCUGGCUAGAGUCCGGAAGAGGAGAGUGGAAUUCCUGGUGUAGCGGUGAAAUGCGCAGAUAUCAGGAAGAACACCUAUGGCGAAGGCAGCUCUCUGGGACGGUACUGACGCUGAGACGCGAAAGCGUGGGGAGCGAACAGG
Molecule: ribosomal RNA, 253 nt
Filed under: uncultured bacterium
Lineage: Bacteria
Description: partial 16S ribosomal RNA
Rfam family: Bacterial small subunit ribosomal RNA
Source: RNAcentral